GUCUACAUCAAGUCAUCAUUAUCGUCUACAACAGGUCACCCGAGGGUUAUCGUCUACAACAAGUCACCCGAGGGUUAUCGUCUACAACAGGUUAUCCGAGGGUUAUCGUCUACAACAGGUCACCCGAGGGUUAUCGUCUACAACAGGUCACCCGAGGGUUAUCGUCUACAACAGGUCACCCGAGGGUUAUCGUCUACAACAGGUUAUCCGAGGGUUAUCGUCUACAACAGGUCACCCGAGGGUUAUCGUCUACAACAGGUCAUCCGAAGGUUAAUUACCUAGAAGCUAGCAAGCCAGCGAGGCAAAGUAAAAUAUCACAAAUAGAGCUAGAUAAAGCCAGAAGAUUAC
This 348-nucleotide long non-coding RNA is filed under the name Salmo salar (Atlantic salmon). RNAcentral describes it as "lncRNA (ENSSSAG00000082865.1)". Lineage: Eukaryota; Metazoa; Chordata; Actinopteri; Salmoniformes; Salmonidae. The record is from RNAcentral.